AUUAAGUGUGACGGCGUGCGUUUUGAAGUAUGAGCCGGAGAGUUAUUGCAAGUUGCAAAGUUAAGUUGUAAAAGAUGGAGCUGAAGCGAAAGCGAGUCUUAAUAGGGCGUUUUAGUAGGUUGCAAUAGACCCGAAAGGGGACGAGCUAGCCAUGAGCAGGUUGAAAUUUGAAUAAUAUCAGAUGGAGGACUGAACCGACUGUCGUUGAAAUGAUAGCGGAUGACUUGUGGCUAGAGGUGAAAUUCCAAUCGAGUUCCCUGAUAGCUGGUUUUUGUCGAUAUAGUUUUAGGACUAGCGUCAAGUAAAUUUGCGACCGGAGGUAAAGCACUGAAUCUAUGAGGGCGUCUCGCGAUGUACCAAAUAGAAUCAAACUCUGAAUUCCGGUUGCACUACCUUGGCAGUGAGACUAUUUGGGAUAAGCUUUAUAGUCGUGAGGGAAAGAGCCCAGACCAACAAAUAAGGUCCCUAAAUCAAGCUAAGUGGAAAAGGAGGUCAAAAUUCAUAAACAGCUAGGAUGUUGGCUUAGAAGCAGCCACCAUUUAAAGAGUGCGUAAAAGCUCACUAGUCUAGUUUUUUGGCGCCACAAGUAUAACGGGGCUAAGCUUGAUACCGAAUUUUUGGAUGAAUAACUAGAAGUUUUUACAUGGUAGACAAAUGUUGUAUAGGGGUUGAAGCCUGAGCGUGAGCACGGGUGGACUCUAUACAAGUAAGAAUUCCGGCGUGAGUAACGAAUGAAAGUGAGAAUCUUUCUAGCCGAUUGAUCAAGGUUUCCGGGGCUAGGUUCGUCCUCCUCGGGUUAGUCGAUCCUAAGGCGAGGUCGAAAGACGUAGUUGAUGGACAAUGGGUUAAUAUUCCCAUACUACCUUAGAUGGCUGAUGGGCUGACAAAAGAGGUUAAGGUAAGGGGGUUACUGGAUUCCCCUUCAAGAGUUCGAGCAGGCUAGGCAGGAAAAUCCGCUUGGCAUUCAAACUGUAAGGCUCGAGUACGAUCCUCGCCAGCGAUGGCGGGGAGAGUUACACUUAGUCAUAUUUUCCAGAAAAGGCUCUAAGACUCAAACCAUCUAGGGUAAUCGUACCGAUAACGAACACACGUGAUCAAGGAGAAUAUCCUAAGGCUAGCGAGCUAACUACAGUUAAGGAACUCUGCAAAUUAACUCUGUAACUUCGGGAGAAAGAGUGCCCGCGGUGGAACUGUGGGUCACAGUAAAGAAUGAGGGCGGACUGUUUAACAAAAACACAGCUAUAUGCAAAAUUCAAACAUGAAGUAUAUGUGGCGACACCUGCCCGGUGCCAGAAGGUCAAAGAAGGAGGUCAGACCAGCCUGGAGC
Molecule: ribosomal RNA, 1327 nt
Filed under: uncultured Mycoplasma sp.
Lineage: Bacteria; Bacillati; Mycoplasmatota; Mollicutes; Mycoplasmatales; Mycoplasmataceae
Description: bacterial LSU rRNA
Rfam family: Bacterial large subunit ribosomal RNA
Source: RNAcentral